Molecule: ribosomal RNA, 490 nt
Filed under: uncultured archaeon
Lineage: Archaea
Description: bacterial SSU rRNA
Rfam family: Archaeal small subunit ribosomal RNA
Source: RNAcentral
GGGCCUAAAGCGUUCGUAGCCGGUUUGAUAAGUCACUGGUGAAAUCCUGUAGCUUAACUGUGGGAAUUGCUGGUGAUACUGUUGAACUUGAGGUCGGGAGAGGUUAGCGGUAUCCCAGGGUAGAGGUGAAAUUCUGUAAUCCUGGGAGGACCACCUGUGGCGAAGGCGGCUAACUGGAACGAACCUGACGGUGAGGGACGAAAGCUAGGGGCGCGAACCGGAUUAGAUACCCGGGUAGUCCUAGCCGUAAACGAUGCGGACUUGGUGUUGGGAUGGCUUUGAGCCGCUCCGGUGCCGAAGGGAAGCUGUUAAGUCCGCCGCCUGGGAAGUACGGUCGCAAGACUGAACUUAAAGGAAUUGGCGGGGGAGCACCACAACGCGUGGAGCCUGCGGUUUAAUUGGAUUCAACGCCGGACAUCUCACCAGGAGCGACAGCUGUAUGAUUACCAGGCUGAUGACCUUGUUUGACUAGCUGAGAGGUGGUGCAUGG